This 316-nucleotide long non-coding RNA is filed under the name Dunaliella salina. RNAcentral's name for it is "long non-coding RNA (DSAL_LNC000151)". Lineage: Eukaryota; Viridiplantae; Chlorophyta; Chlorophyceae; Chlamydomonadales; Dunaliellaceae. The record is from RNAcentral.
GCAGCGGCUGUGUGGUCAUUCUUGUUUAGUGUGCAGUCCCGCUCAUUGUGGGUGUGCACCUGCAUUUGAGUGUAUGCCAGAACUUCUGGGCUCUUUCCAUCUAUCUCCUGCACGUACCCGCACAGACAUUGAAUAUGUUUGGCUUAAAUUCAGACUUGGCCCCAGUUCAAAUUGUUGUUUCACAAGGUGUUAAUGUGCAACCUUUUUGUCAAGUUUGGCUCAAUUUUCAAUGCUGGUAGAGCGUGUGUCUCCAGCAACCGAUCAGCCAGAUUCUCGGGCUGUAGGCCAUUCUUGUAAACCCUUGUAAACCCUUGUG